GCCCCAACCAUCACCGCAUUUCUCAAGCUUCAAGACAUCCUUAUCAUAAAAGCAAUGGAAUACACCUCCAUCCCUUUGAUGGUUAACCUCAAGAUUGUCAUCAUCAACCAUGGCCUGGUCCGAGCAUGGAAUGGUUAUAAAUGCACUUAGUUCAUCAGGACAAGUUCUGUUGCCUUCCAAUGAAACACGUUUGCCUUCUUCAACCAAAGAAUAGGGAAUACAGUAUCCUUUACCACUACUACUUUUCAUAGAGUUCUCAAGAAGGCUGU
This 269-nucleotide unclassified non-coding RNA is filed under the name Hevea brasiliensis (rubber tree). The record is from RNAcentral. Lineage: Eukaryota; Viridiplantae; Streptophyta; Magnoliopsida; Malpighiales; Euphorbiaceae.